UGGGUAAUCUUGUGAAACUUCAUCGUGAUGGGGAUAGAGCAUUGCAAUUAUUGCUCUUCAACGAGGAAUCCCUAGUAAGCAUGAGUCAUCAGCUCAUGCUGAUUACGUCCCUGCCCUUUGUACACACCGCCCGUCGCUACUACCGAUUGAAUGGCUUAGUGAGACCCUCGGAUCGAUAAGUGGAAACCUUCACAGGUAUCCUUUUGUUGAGAAGUUGGUCAAACUUGGUCAUUUAGAGGAAGUAAAAGUCGUAACAAGGUAGCCGUAGGUGAACCUGCGGAAGGAUCAUU
RNAcentral lists this ribosomal RNA (290 nucleotides) under Gigaspora rosea. RNAcentral describes it as "partial 18S ribosomal RNA". It matches the Rfam family "Eukaryotic small subunit ribosomal RNA", at positions 1543 to 1830 of the family's 1831-position model. Lineage: Eukaryota; Fungi; Glomeromycota; Glomeromycetes; Diversisporales; Gigasporaceae. The record is from RNAcentral.